Molecule: small nuclear RNA, 116 nt
Filed under: Salvator merianae (Argentine black and white tegu)
Lineage: Eukaryota; Metazoa; Chordata; Lepidosauria; Squamata; Teiidae
Description: U5 spliceosomal RNA (ENSSMRG00000003796.1)
Rfam family: U5 spliceosomal RNA
About the family: U5 RNA is a component of both types of known spliceosome. The precise function of this molecule is unknown, though it is known that the 5' loop is required for splice site selection and p220 binding, and that both the 3' stem-loop and the Sm site are important for Sm protein binding and cap methylation.
Source: Rfam by way of RNAcentral
AUACUCUGGUUUCUCUUCAGCUCAUAUAAAUAUUUUGUUUUUUACUAAAGAUUUCCAUGGAGAGGAAGUUUUAUGAGUUUUUAACUAAUUUUUUGAGGCUCUGUUUCUGCAGAAAA